This 274-nucleotide ribosomal RNA is filed under the name Clostridioides difficile. RNAcentral describes it as "partial 23S ribosomal RNA". It matches the Rfam family "Bacterial large subunit ribosomal RNA", at positions 2289 to 2562 of the family's 2925-position model. Lineage: Bacteria; Bacillati; Bacillota; Clostridia; Peptostreptococcales; Peptostreptococcaceae. The record is from RNAcentral.
CCCAAAAGGUAACGGAGGCGCUCAAAGGUUCUCUCAGUACGGUCGGAAAUCGUACGUAGAGUGUAAAGGCAAAAGAGAGCUUGAUUGCAAGACAUACAGGGCGAGCAAGGAUGAAAAUCGGACUUAGUGAUCCGGUGGUUCUGCGUGGAAGGGCCAUCGCUCAACGGAUAAAAGCUACCCUGGGGAUAACAGGCUUAUCUCCCCCAAGAGUCCACAUCGACGGGGAGGUUUGGCACCUCGAUGUCGGCUCAUCACAUCCUGGGGCUGUAGUAGG